RNAcentral lists this ribosomal RNA (383 nucleotides) under uncultured eukaryote. RNAcentral's name for it is "partial 18S ribosomal RNA". It matches the Rfam family "Eukaryotic small subunit ribosomal RNA", at positions 592 to 976 of the family's 1831-position model. The record is from RNAcentral.
CAAUAGCGUAUAUUAAAGUUGUUGCAGUUAAAAAGCUCGUAGUUGGAUUUCUGGUGGGAGCGAUCGGUCUGGCGCUUAGCGCGAGUACUUGCAUCGUCUCCGGCCAUCCUUGGGGAGAGUCUGUCUGGCAUUAGGUUGUCGGGCAGAGGAUCCUCAUCGUUUACUGUGAAAAAAUUAGAGUGUUCAAAGCAGGCUUAUGCCGUUGAAUAUAUUAGCAUGGAAUAAUAAGAUAGGACUUUGGUACUAUUUUGUUGGUUUGCGCACCAAAGUAAUGAUUAAUAGGGACAGUUGGGGGUAUUCGUAUUCCGUUGUCAGAGGUGAAAUUCUUGGAUUUAUGAAAGACGAACUACUGCGAAAGCAUUUGCCAAGGAUGUUUUCAUUAA